This 685-nucleotide ribosomal RNA is filed under the name Tomentella sp. YM1033. Its description in RNAcentral is "eukaryotic LSU rRNA". The stretch from base 173 to 327 matches the Rfam family "5.8S ribosomal RNA". The record is from RNAcentral. Lineage: Eukaryota; Fungi; Basidiomycota; Agaricomycetes; Thelephorales; Thelephoraceae.
UUGCUGGCCCCUGACGGGGGCACGUGCACGCUCUGUUUACGCAUCCACUCACACCUGUGCACCCUCGGUAGUUCUAUGGUUCGGGAGACCCCGUCUUCCUUCCGUGGCUCUACGUCUUUACACACACACGACGUCUCAUGGAAUGUUUUUCGCGUUUAACGCAAUACAAUACAACUUUCAGCAACGGAUCUCUUGGCUCUCGCAUCGAUGAAGAACGCAGCGAAAUGCGAUAAGUAAUGUGAAUUGCAGAAUUCAGUGAAUCAUCGAAUCUUUGAACGCACCUUGCGCCCCUUGGUUAUUCCUUGGGGCAUGCCUGUUUGAGUAUCAUGAACACCUCAACUCUCAUGGUCUUCCAUGACGAGCUUGGACUUUGGAGGUUUGCUGGCCCUGCGGCCGGCUCCUCUCAAACAAAUCAGCUUGCCAGUGUUUGGCGGCAUCUCACGGGUGUGAUAACUAUCUACGCUCGCGGUUGUCUGCCAGGUAACCCUCAGCGAUGAAGGUUCAUUGGGGCUCAUAAACGUCUCUCCUCGGCGAGGACAACUUUUGAACGUUCGAUCUCAAAUCAGGUAGGACUACCCGCUGAACUUAAGCAUAUCAAUAAGCGGAGGAAAAGAAACUAACAAGGAUUCCCCUAGUAACUGCGAGUGAAGCGGGAAGAGCUCAAAUUUAAAAUCUGGCGUGCCUC